GUCUUCAACUGACCAAUAUUUGAAGAACAAUGUGCUUAUUCUGCUCCAUUUGGAGGAGGCCAAUCUCUUGAGAAGCAAAUCAUACAUACAUAAAACCAUGAAUUUUAGAGGCAAAUUUAAUAACAGGAACUACCUCUGUCUUGUUCACCAGUAUGUGUAUGGGAAAACACACCCUACACUGAACAGGAGAUAUAUCUUAUUUUCUUUUGAAUAUUGCUUAUGGUACUGUAGGAAAGCAGAGGAAUUGAGAAAUAGAAAUUAGUUCAAAGUAAAGGGGAAAAAAAUCACUAUCCAAGUUGGAGUUCAGCAAAAAGUUACUUAUGACAAUUAACUAAAAAUCCAUAUUUUGCCAAUAACCAACAGGCAAAUAAAAAACCAACAUUCAAUGUUCAAUUCAAAAUAGCCAGUGAGGGAGAGGCACCAAUUAGAAGCAGCUGCAGUCCAUGGCACUCAUGGAGAGGAGUGAAAGGGGUGAGUGAAUACAGUUCUCCCACAGAUCUUUGCAACCCACGGAUCAGGAGAUCCCCUCGUGAGCCCAUGCUACCAGGGCCUUGAGUCUGACACACAGAGCUGUGUGGAGUCUUGGCCCCUGUCCAGCCUGGCCCUGCCUUCCCUGGUCUGGAGCACAUCCAAUUCUCUCUCUCCCCAGGACUUUGAUCACUUCAUUUUGCCCAAAUUCUCCUCUGAUCCCUAUGGUUGUUCUUUAUUCCCCAAGGGGUAUUUCUAGCCCAGUACCCCCGCUGAGCUCCAGACUCACACUACACAACGAAUUGGCCCUUAACUGGGCACUCUGCGAGCCUCUCCAUCUCACCCUGUCUAAAAUCUCCUCACUAACCUGGUGAUCUCUCUGGCCUUCGCUGUUCAUGGCCACCACCUCACCUGAAGCAAGGCUGGUGAUCAUCCACUCCUCCCUCCCCUUCUUCAGGCUAACCUCAGGUCUUCUCUGCUCCACUGCCAUUUUCCCAGGCCAAUCCUCUUGCCUAUUCACCCACAUCAGCGUCCAGGCUGUUCCUCAACACACCAGGCAUGUUCCCGACCUAGGGGCUUUGCAGCACCUGUUCCUACUGCCUAAAAUGUUUCCCCUAGAAAUCUGCAUGGCUACCACCCCCAACUUUACUCAGCUUUUCACUCAAAUGUUGCCUUCCACAUGAGGUCUCUGUGACCCAUGCCCACACUGCCUCCGCCCUAGCACUCCCAAUCCUUGGCCUACAGGAUUCAUCAUCUUCUAAAAGAAUAUAUAACUUGCUGGCCUGUUGGCUUAUUUACUCAGUAUUACUGUCUUCAGUCAUGAAUGUACUCCCCACCAGGGCUUACCUUGUUCCCCAACAGGUCCCAAACACUGAGGGCCAGUGCCUGGCAAAGAGAAGCUGCUCUUUACUUUCCUGCUGAGUGUGUUGAUCUACAGGAGAUGAACAGGCUUCCUCUGGUAUUCCAAUGACCAGCUCUGUCCCAACCAACACAUCCCCUGCACUUCCCACAAAAAGCACAGUGACAUUUCAAUAGGACUAUAUUUGAAAUAGUUUAUGAAUGAAAAGAAAGAACUAUUAAAGGGAAAAUGAUGCAGCACCACAGAUGUGAGUAGAUCGUCCAGCUGCUUUUCCUACAGAAUAAAUACUAGAUUCUCUCGGGAACGCUCACAGUGCUCUGUCACCUGGAUGCAGUCCCAUCUCCUCUCCCUUGCCCCAGCCUUGCCCAGCCCACACUGCACUGUAUAUCCAGUCCACCAAACUUCUCUUCCUUCUCGGAGGGUAUGGGUAUUCUCGCUUCUAUGCUGGCUCGUGGUUUUGUUAGUUUCAUUGCUGCCUUAGUCAUGUGGGGGAAUUCCUGACCAAUUCAUCCUUCUUUUUAAUCCCUCAAUCCUGAAUUAGGUAACUUUUCCUCUAUCACUUUCAACAUUACAUUAUCAGCUGCAAUAGAAGACCCUACACUUCUGACUUGUGGACUCCUGAGAGCAAGGUCUGUGAUUAUUCCACAUGUGUAUGGACAACACCUCUGCAGAGGGCCUGGCAGCUGCUAGAUGCUCAAUAAACCUCUGCCGAAGGCAGCUGCUAAAAGAAAAAAGAAAAUCUUACUACGGAAAGUAAAAGAUGAUCCUCAGGCAAGAAACAAAAAAGUGCGACGGAAGCUCUGUUUCUAUCUCUUCAGGGCCGUGCUUCAUUAUUAUUUCCUCAUUCUCCAAUUCCUCACAAAGCUCUAUUUUAUAAAUGUUUGCAGAGCUUUAAGUUAAUCCUAACAUUUACUCUCCAGCCCUCAAUCUUUAAUGACUCCUUCUCUAAAAAAAAAAAAGGCAGAAAAAGUAAAGAUUUAUAUAAGUUCAAAAGAAACUUAAAAAUCCAGACAAAGACUUAUCAUCAGCCACGUAUGGAAUGUGAGUGGAUUCUUGCCUAAAAAGCUAGCUCUAGCUGCAAAUUUCCUAUAUUCUCCCAGUGCCACGGGACGGUGAUGAGAGGUCUCCCACUCCAUGGGGCUCUGCCCACCUCUGCUCACCCACUCCACACCUCCCACCACACUUUUCUAGUGCUUGAAGGAAGUGAAGACAGUAGCCUUUAACAUGUUCCAUUACAGCAACUGCUUUGGUGUAGUGACUUACAAGGAAGCCUGCAAAGGAG
Molecule: long non-coding RNA, 2609 nt
Filed under: Homo sapiens (human)
Lineage: Eukaryota; Metazoa; Chordata; Mammalia; Primates; Hominidae
Description: non-protein coding lnc-FOXC1-11:2
Source: RNAcentral